RNAcentral lists this ribosomal RNA (497 nucleotides) under uncultured bacterium. Its description in RNAcentral is "partial 16S ribosomal RNA". It matches the Rfam family "Bacterial small subunit ribosomal RNA", at positions 28 to 507 of the family's 1533-position model. The record is from RNAcentral.
GAUGAACGCUGGCGGCGUGCCUAAUACAUGCAAGUCGAGCGAACGGACGAUAAUCUUGCUUCUCUGAUGUUAGCGGCUGACGGGUGAGUAACACGUGGAUAACCUACCUAUAAUACUUGGAUAACUUCGUGAAACCUGAUCUAAUACCGUAUAAUAUUUUUAACCGCAUGGUUCAAAAGUGAAAGACGGUCUUUCUGUCUCUUAUAGAUGUAUCCGCGCUUCAUUAGCUAGUUGGUAAGGUAACGGCUUACCAAGGCAACGAUGCAUAGCCGACCUGAGAGGGUGAUAGGCAAAACUGGAACUGAGACACGGACAAGACGCCUACGGGAGGAAGCAGAAGGGAAUAUUCCGAAAUGGGCGAAAGAAUGACGGAGCAACGCCGCGUGAGAGAUGAAGGUAUUCGGAUCGUAAAACUCUGUUAUUAGGGAAGAACAAAUGUGUAAGUAAAUGUGCAGAGAGUGACGGUAACUAAUCAGAAAGCCACGGCUAACUACGUG